This 468-nucleotide ribosomal RNA is filed under the name uncultured bacterium. RNAcentral's name for it is "partial 16S ribosomal RNA". It matches the Rfam family "Bacterial small subunit ribosomal RNA", at positions 28 to 507 of the family's 1533-position model. The record is from RNAcentral.
GACGAACGCUGGCGGCGUGCUUAACACAUGCAAGUCGAACGGAAAGGCCCUGCUUUUGUGGGGUGCUCGAGUGGCGAACGGGUGAGUAACACGUGAGUAACCUGCCCUUGACUUUGGGAUAACUUCAGGAAACUGGGGCUAAUACCGGAUAGGAGCUCCUGCUGCAUGGUGGGGGUUGGAAAGUUUCGGCGGUUGGGGAUGGACUCGCGGCUUAUCAGCUUGUUGGUGGGGUAGUGGCUUACCAAGGCUUUGACGGGUAGCCGGCCUGAGAGGGUGACCGGCCACAUUGGGACUGAGAUACCGCCCAGGCUCCUUCGGGAGGGAGCAGUGGGGAAUAUUGCACAAUGGGCGGAAGCCUGAUGCAGCAACGCCGCGUGCGGGAUUACGGCCUUCGGGUUGUAAACCGCUUUCGCCUGUGACGAAGCGUGAGUGACGGUAAUGGGUAAAGAAGCACCGGCUAACUACGUG